Molecule: transfer RNA, 76 nt
Filed under: Oscillospiraceae bacterium
Lineage: Bacteria; Bacillati; Bacillota; Clostridia; Eubacteriales; Oscillospiraceae
Also listed under: 1 other name
Description: tRNA-Val
Rfam family: tRNA
About the family: Transfer RNA (tRNA) molecules are approximately 80 nucleotides in length. Their secondary structure includes four short double-helical elements and three loops (D, anti-codon, and T loops). Further hydrogen bonds mediate the characteristic L-shaped molecular structure. tRNAs have two regions of fundamental functional importance: the anti-codon, which is responsible for specific mRNA codon recognition, and the 3' end, to which the tRNAs corresponding amino acid is attached (by aminoacyl-tRNA synthetases). tRNAs cope with the degeneracy of the genetic code in two manners: having more than one tRNA (with a specific anti-codon) for a particular amino acid; and 'wobble' base-pairing, i.e. permitting non-standard base-pairing at the 3rd anti-codon position.
Source: RNAcentral
GGAGGCAUAGCUCAGCUGGUAGAGCACCUGCUCCACACGCAGGGGGUCACAGGUUCAAGUCCUGUUGUCUCCACCA